This is a long non-coding RNA of Canis lupus familiaris (dog), 682 nucleotides long. RefSeq lists it as uncharacterized. The transcript is spliced from 2 exons. The record is from RefSeq and is a predicted model, not a curated record. NCBI's taxonomy places the organism in Eukaryota, Metazoa, Chordata, Mammalia, Carnivora, Canidae.
CUCAAUGCAAAUAAUAGCUCUACCUUCUGAAGACUUAUCGUGUGUUCUAAAUGUUCUACAGAGGCUGUCUCCGCAAGCCUCCCAGCCCUGUGAGGUCAACACAGCCACUGUCCUUGUUUUACGGAGGCUCAGCCACCUGCCACCAGGAUUUCAUCUAGAAAGAACUAAGGUCUAAAUCUGAUAUUUGAAGAAUCCAAGGGAUUAAGCAGAUCACUGUUCAUUACCUGCAAGAAAUGCUUAAGCAGUUCUGAGCAAACAAAGUGACUGUAGAUGGAUAAUUAUAAUCCUGAGAUCACAGAUCUACAAAACUGCCUGGCAUUCCACUAACCAGUGAGGAGCAAAGGGCACAGGUUUUCAUCCUUCCAGAGGGCUGGACCCUCUGGUCCCCACCUGGAUUCUCGGGGAAGCUCCUUGCCAAAGAGGGGUGGGGGGACCAGGACUUGGAAUGUUUGCCUGGUGACCAUUUUGUCACAUUAUUCAUCUUUCCUGCCUGCCAACACUGGGAGUCCCUGCUUCAGGUCCCUGUUGAUGCCAGGCCCCCAAGCAGACCCUGGUGACACACGCGGAGCGAGCCAUCUGUACGUGGGACCAUGUGGCUGCAUGUUUGGUCCUGCCCCCUGCCCCGGGGUGCACUGCAACUCCAACCACAGGACAAUGCUGGUGCCCUGCCUGUCCAGUGUCU